Dreissena polymorpha is the source of this 970-nucleotide long non-coding RNA. RefSeq lists it as uncharacterized. The record is from RefSeq and is a predicted model, not a curated record. The transcript is spliced from 3 exons. NCBI's taxonomy places the organism in Eukaryota, Metazoa, Mollusca, Bivalvia, Myida, Dreissenidae.
CAAAUUUAUUGAAAAUAAAGUAUGAUGCGCAUGCCGAGUUGCUUAGUUUGAUAACAAAAACACAUACAUGAAUGAAUGAAUAACUGUUUACUAUCCGGGCAUAACGUAUUGUGAUCGAAUGUCAACACAACUCAAUGAUUCUUGACUUUUUGCGUUGGCGUUAAGACGACAUUGAACAUUCUGUUCAGAGCUCGGGGCGGUACUUUGUUAGCAAAUAUCUGGGUGAUAUAAAAGGCAUACUGAACAGAAAAGUGAAGCCAAACAUAAAUUAGGUGUUGAAUCGCUGCUAUACUUGUAAAAAUGCUUCCUAAAUGGUUAUACCUGCUUUUGGUGUUCGGUGCCUUACUCCUUCCUUCCGAUGCGAUCAACUGCUAUGAGUGUAAUACUAUAGAAGAUGACGGGUGCGGGGACCCGUUUGGUUCAGGCGUGUCGAAAGCUGGUUGCGAACAAUGUUCCAAAAUUAAGGGGACCCAAGGAUCUAUUCAAGUCGUUAUCCGAAAUUGUUUACUGACGAAGGCUCAAGACAACGAGGGAUGCGCUUCUGAGACACAAAGUGGCGUCACUGGCGAAGUCUGUUUGUGCAACACGAGCCUCUGCAAUGCAGCGUCCGAUCCAGUUGUGGCCUUUUCACUGUUAAUGCUUACUGGCUUUCUGGCUGCUAAGAAUAUUUUAACGCAUUGAGUACGAGCACGUGUUUUCUUUCAAGUUUGAUGUUACCCCAUUGUCUUAUAUUUUCGACAGUUUGAUUUGUGUACAGUGAAAUAUGCAGUGUUUGUUAUUAUUAACACUAGUGUAUGCUUUCGUAUUCAAUACUUUCCGUUACGCUGAAACGUCCAAAUAUAAGUUAUUGUAAUUGAGGUCAUAUUAUUAUGCUUUAAUAUUUUCAGGAUGUCUGUUUGAUACAAACGUAAAUACUUGUAAGACAGUUCCACAUAUAAUCACAAUAUAAAUAAAUAUAUAAAUAAUCAAA